Molecule: unclassified non-coding RNA, 305 nt
Filed under: plant metagenome
Description: partial contains 5.8S ribosomal RNA, internal transcribed spacer 2, and large subunit ribosomal RNA
Rfam family: 5.8S ribosomal RNA (bases 1-105)
Source: RNAcentral
GAAAUGCGAUAAGUAGUGUGAAUUGCAGAAUUCAGUGAAUCAUCGAAUCUUUGAACGCACAUUGCGCCCUUUGGUAUUCCAAAGGGCAUGCCUGUUCGAGCGUCAUUUGUACCCUCAAGCUUUGCUUGGUGUUGGGCGUCUUGUCUCCAGUUCGCUGGAGACUUGCCUUAAAGUAAUUGGCAGCCGGCCUACUGGUUUCGGAGCGCAGCACAAGUCGCGCUCUCUUCCAGCCAAGGUCAGCAUCCACAAAGCCUUUUUUCAACUUUUGACCUCGGAUCAGGUAGGGAUACCCGCUGAACUUAAGC